Molecule: ribosomal RNA, 532 nt
Filed under: Escherichia coli
Lineage: Bacteria; Pseudomonadati; Pseudomonadota; Gammaproteobacteria; Enterobacterales; Enterobacteriaceae
Also listed under: 1 other name
Description: partial 23S ribosomal RNA
Rfam family: Bacterial large subunit ribosomal RNA
Source: RNAcentral
GCGAAAGCAGGUCAUAGUGAUCCGGUGGUUCUGAAUGGAAGGGCCAUCGCUCAACGGAUAAAAGGUACUCCGGGGAUAACAGGCUGAUACCGCCCAAGAGUUCAUAUCGACGGCGGUGUUUGGCACCUCGAUGUCGGCUCAUCACAUCCUGGGGCUGAAGUAGGUCCCAAGGGUAUGGCUGUUCGCCAUUUAAAGUGGUACGCGAGCUGGGUUUAGAACGUCGUGAGACAGUUCGGUCCCUAUCUGCCGUGGGCGCUGGAGAACUGAGGGGGGCUGCUCCUAGUACGAGAGGACCGGAGUGGACGCAUCACUGGUGUUCGGGUUGUCAUGCCAAUGGCACUGCCCGGUAGCUAAAUGCGGAAGAGAUAAGUGCUGAAAGCAUCUAAGCACGAAACUUGCCCCGAGAUGAGUUCUCCCUGACUCCUUGAGAGUCCUGAAGGAACGUUGAAGACGACGACGUUGAUAGGCCGGGUGUGUAAGCGCAGCGAUGCGUUGAGCUAACCGGUACUAAUGAACCGUGAGGCUUAACCUU